UACGGAAGGCAGCAGUGGGGAAGUAUUGCACAAUGGGCGCAAGCCUGAUGCAGCCAUGCCGCGUGUAUGAAGAAGGCCUUCGGGUUGUAAAGUACUUUCAGUCGUGAGGAAGGUGUUAAGGUUAAUAACCUUAGCAAUUGACGUUAGCGACAGAAGAAGCACCGGCUAACUCCGUGCCAGCAGCCGCGGUAAUACGGAGGGUGCGAGCGUUAAUCGGAAUUACUGGGCGUAAAGGGCACGCAGGCGGUUAAUUAAGUUGGAUGUGAAAUCCCCGGGCUUAACCUGGGAAUGGCAUUCAAGACUGGUUAGCUAGAGUCUUGUAGAGGGGGUAGAAUUCCAUGUGUAGCGGUGAAAUGCGUAGAGAUGUGGAGGAAUACCGGUGGGCGAAAGGCGGCCCCCUGGGACAAAAGACUGACGCUCAUGUGCGAAAGCGUGGGGAGCAAAACAGGGAUUAGAUACCC
This 461-nucleotide ribosomal RNA is filed under the name uncultured bacterium. RNAcentral describes it as "bacterial SSU rRNA". It matches the Rfam family "Bacterial small subunit ribosomal RNA", at positions 340 to 787 of the family's 1533-position model. The record is from RNAcentral.